AGUCGUAACAAGGUCUCCGUUGGUGAACCAGCGGAGGGAUCAUUAUCGAGUUAUUCAACUCCCAAACCCUAUGUGAACUUACCACUUGUUGCUUCGGCGCGCGCUUCGGCGCCGCCGAGGACACUUAAACUCUUUGUUUUUAUAAGCAUUUCUGAGUGGCCGAAAGGCAAAAAUACAAAUGAAUCAAAACUUUCAACAACGGAUCUCUUGGUUCUGGCAUCGAUGAAGAACGCAGCGAAAUGCGAUAAGUAAUGUGAAUUGCAGAAUUCAGUGAAUCAUCGAAUCUUUGAACGCACAUUGCGCCCGCCAGCAUUCUGGCGGGCAUGCCUGUUCGAGCGUCAUUUCAACCCUCGAGCCCGACUCUUUUGAGGACGGCUCGGCGUUGGGGGACGGCAGACUCCCCCCGGCAUCUCGCCGGGGACGCCGCCCCCGAAAUCUAGUGGCGGCCCUCCGAGGCGACCUCUGCGUAGUAACUUGUUCUCGCACCGGAAAGCUCAGAGCGGCCACGCCGUAAAACCCCAACUUUUUUCAGGUUGACCUCGAAUCAGGUAGGACUACCCGCUGAACUUAAGCAUAUCAAUAAGCGGAGGAAAAGAAACCAACAGGGAUUGCCCCAGUAACGGCGAGUGAAGCGGCAACAGCUCAAAUUUGAAAUCUGGCCCCUAGGGUCCGAGUUGUAAUUUGCAGAGGAUGCU
RNAcentral lists this unclassified non-coding RNA (695 nucleotides) under Leptobacillium leptobactrum var. calidius. RNAcentral describes it as "sequence contains 18S rRNA gene, ITS1, 5.8S rRNA gene, ITS2, 28S rRNA gene". The stretch from base 188 to 341 matches the Rfam family "5.8S ribosomal RNA". The record is from RNAcentral. Lineage: Eukaryota; Fungi; Ascomycota; Sordariomycetes; Hypocreales; Cordycipitaceae.